GAGUUUGAUUAUGGCUCAGAUUGAACGCUGGCGGCAUGCUUUACACAUGCAAGUCGAACGGCAGCACGGAAGAGCUUGCUCUUUUGGUGGCGAGUGGCGAACGGGUGAGUAAUGCAUCGGAACGUACCGAGUAGUGGGGGAUAACUGUCCGAAAGGAUGGCUAAUACCGCAUACGCUUUGAGAAGGAAAGCAGGGGCUCUUCGGACCUUGCGCUAUUCGAGCGGCCGAUGUCUGAUUAGCUAGUUGGUGGGGUAAAGGCCUACCAAGGCGACGAUCAGUAGCGGGUCUGAGAGGAUGAUCCGCCACACUGGGACUGAGACACGGCCCAGACUCCUACGGGAGGCAGCAGUGGGGAAUUUUGGACAAUGGGCGCAAGCCUGAUCCAGCCAUGCCGCGUGUCUGAAGAAGGCCUUCGGGUUGUAAAGGACUUUUGUCAGGGAAGAAAAGCUUUGGGUUAAUA
RNAcentral lists this ribosomal RNA (460 nucleotides) under Neisseria canis. RNAcentral's name for it is "bacterial SSU rRNA". It matches the Rfam family "Bacterial small subunit ribosomal RNA", at positions 9 to 465 of the family's 1533-position model. Lineage: Bacteria; Pseudomonadati; Pseudomonadota; Betaproteobacteria; Neisseriales; Neisseriaceae. The record is from RNAcentral.